GACGAACCGUGCGAACGUUAUUCGGAAUCACUGGGCUUAAAGCGCGUGUAGGCGGGUCGCCACGUCGGAUGCUGAAAUCCCACGGCUCAACCGUGGAACGGGCACCGAUACGAGCGACCUGGAGGGAGGUAGGGGGGGCUGGAACUUCCGGUGGAGCGGUGAAAUGCGUUGAGAUCGGAAGGAACGCCCGUGGCGAAAGCGAGCCCCUGGACCUUUUCUGACGCUGAGACGCGAAAGCUAGGGGAGCGAACGGG
RNAcentral lists this ribosomal RNA (254 nucleotides) under uncultured bacterium. Its description in RNAcentral is "partial 16S ribosomal RNA". It matches the Rfam family "Bacterial small subunit ribosomal RNA", at positions 524 to 776 of the family's 1533-position model. The record is from RNAcentral.